GCUGGCGGCACGCCUAACACAUGCAAGUCGAACGAAGUAGCAAUACUUAGUGGCAGACGGGUGAGUAACAUGUAGGUAUCUACCCUUUGGCCUGGAAUAACACGAGGAAACUUGUGCUAAUACCGGAUAAGUCUUUACGGAGAAAGCUUUAUGCACCAUUGGAUGAGCCUGCACUUGAUUAGUUUGUUGGUGGGGUAAUGGCCUACCAAGACUGUGAUCAAUAGCUGAUUUGAGAGGAUGAUCAGCCACAUUGGGACUGAGACACGGCCCAAACUCCUACGGGAGGCAGCAGUGGGGAAUCUUGCACAAUGGAGGAAACUCUGAUGCAGCGAUGCCGCGUGAGUGAAGAAGGCCCUUGGGUUGUAAAGCUCUUUCGUCGGGGAAGAAAAUGACUGUACCCGAAUAAGAAGGUCCGGCUAACUUCGUGCCAGCAGCCGCGGUAAUACGAAGGGACCUAGCGUAGUUCGGAAUUACUGGGCUUAAAGAGUUCGUGGUGGUUGAAAAAGUUAGUGGUGAAAUCCCAGAGCUUAACUCUGGAACUGCCAUUAAAACUUUUCAGCUAGAGUAUGAUAGAGGAAAGCAGAAUUUCUAGUGUAGAGGUGAAAUUCGUAGAUAUUAGAAAGAAUACCAAUUGCGAGGGCAGCUUUCUGGAUCAUUACUGACACUGAGGAACGAAAGC
This 679-nucleotide ribosomal RNA is filed under the name uncultured Pseudomonadota bacterium. RNAcentral's name for it is "bacterial SSU rRNA". It matches the Rfam family "Bacterial small subunit ribosomal RNA", at positions 35 to 760 of the family's 1533-position model. The record is from RNAcentral. Lineage: Bacteria; Pseudomonadati; Pseudomonadota.